This 563-nucleotide ribosomal RNA is filed under the name uncultured bacterium. RNAcentral's name for it is "bacterial SSU rRNA". It matches the Rfam family "Bacterial small subunit ribosomal RNA", at positions 333 to 917 of the family's 1533-position model. The record is from RNAcentral.
AGAUUCCUACGGGAGGCAGCAGUGGGGAAUAUUGCACAAUGGGCGAAAGCCUGAUGCAGCAACGCCGCGUGAGCGAUGAAGGCCUUCGGGUCGUAAAGCUCUGUCCUAUGGGAAGAUAAUGACGGUACCAUAGGAGGAAGCCCCGGCUAACUACGUGCCAGCAGCCGCGGUAAUACGUAGGGGGCAAGCGUUGUCCGGAAUUACUGGGCGUAAAGGGUGCGUAGGCGGUUUAUCAAGUCAGGGGUGAAAGGCUACGGCUCAACCGUAGUGAGCCUCUGAAACUGGUGAACUUGAGUGUAGGAGAGGAAAGUGGAAUUCCCAGUGCAGCGGUGAAAUGCGUAGAUAUUGGGAGGAACACCAGUGGCGAAGGCGACUUUCUGGACUACAACUGACGCUGAGGCACGAAAGCGUGGGGAGCAAACAGGAUUAGAUACCCUGGUAGUCCACGCUGUAAACGAUGAGUACUAGGUGUCGGCUGUCAAAGGUCGGUGCCGGCGUUAACACAUUAAGUACUCCGCCUGGGGAGUACGCUCGCAAGAGUGAAACUCAAAGGAAUUGACGGA